CCAUCCAGGGCAUAUGGAGUUCCUGGGCCAGUAUCAGAUUCAAGCAACAGUUAUGACCCACACCCCAUCUGUGGCAACGCUGGAUUCUUAACCCACUGUACUGGCUGGGAUUGAACCUGCGUCCCAAUGCUGCAGAGACCUGCAGGAUCCCACUGCACCACAGCGGGAACUCCUAGAAUUAAAUUCUUUAACAGCAAGGACCACAUCUUACUUACCUUCACAUCUUUAUUAGGCAGUGAGGUCCCCACCACUGAAACGGUGCCCAAUAAAUACAGUUCCCAGGCUAGGGGUUGAAUUGGAACUGCAGCUACAGGCCUAUGCCACAGCCACAGCAACACUGGAUCUGAGCCACAUCUGGGACCUAUGCCACAUCUUGUGGCAAUGCCAGAUCCUUAAUCUACUGAGUGAGGACAGAGAUUGAAUCUGCAUCCUCACAGAUGCUAUGUCGGGUUCUUGACCCUAAUCCACUGAGCCACAACAGGACCUCAGGUAAACACUCAGAGUAAGGAGGUUCAUGUUGGACAAUCUUUAGAAAUAGCUGAAUUAGGAUGACAUGAAACAAACACAGCCUCCCACACUAACCAAGCCCUGCAUCUUGAGGGAGGGGAUCUGCCCUCUGUGGGCUGGAAGCGCCCUCUCCAACAGAGAGAAGGGUGGUGAGGUUGCCACAGCACACUCAGAUGCUGUUUUCACAAAAUGCUGCUAUAUAAGCUCUGGGAUCCACCAAUGAAAGUAAGUUUCUGUCUUGAAAGAGCUCAGUCUAUUACCAGAUAAAGAUGGAUGAAUGAAAUUGCCAAAUCUAAGAGGAUAAAGAGUCAGGAAGAGCCAUUCAAGAGCAAAAUCUCCUCCUGGAUCCUUAAUGUCUUCCUAUCACCUCCUCAAAAACCUGCUUCCACUGAUCAGCCCAGAAGUUUCUGAAUUUUUUAAAAUUUUCUCUAUUUAGUGACUUUCCCCUAAAUUCUCUAGAUGAUUCUUUCAAACCGAGAGAAAAAUAACAUCUCUUUUAACUUCAAGUUGCCCUCUGGCUACUGUCAAAUCUCUCAUCUUUCUCGUCCAAACUCCUUGAAAGAGUAAUAUACUCAAUAGUCGGUAAUAACCUAUAUGGGGAAAAAAAGAAUGAAUAUAUGUAUAUGUAUAACUGAAUCAUUUUGCUAUACACUUGAAACUAAUACAACAUUGUAAGUCAACUAUACUCCAAUAAAAUUCAUUCAACAAAUAUGUAUUGAGCAUGUAAUGUAAUGGGAAUAGAGUAUAUCUAUGGAGGGAACAGAAUAGGAUUCAAAAAUAAAGAGGGUAAGCCUUAUUGAUAAGGCGAUGAUAAGGCAAAAACAUAAAAAAAGGAGGAUCAGAGAACAGUCUGAAAUCCAUGCAUUUGCGCUGGCACCAUUCCCAUUCCUAUUCCACCAUCCAGUCCCAAAAGCUAAGAAGGAAAAAAAGUGAAGUGAUCCAAAGACAGAAUGAAAUCCCAAGAGACUGGUGAGAGAAUGAUUCCUGUGAUGGACUAUGGAGUUGGAAAAUAAAGUAACUGAUGCCAAAAAAAGUGAAAAGUAGAAAACUUUUCUUGAUUCCGUAAGAUCUCCCUAAAAGCUAGUCGCCCCCUCUUGUGCUUCCAUAGUAAGUUCCACAUACGUCAAUCCAUAAUCCAUAGAUUAUGUUCAUACGUAAGAACAUUUGAUUCUCCUUUGGAUAUCCCCCACAGCUUUACCCAAUGGCUGAUCAAGAGUACGCACUUAGUAGUCACAUAAUGCAUUCACUGACCUAAAUAAUUAAUUAAAUAAUAUAUUAUUCAUGUUUUGCUACCUUUAUAAUUAUUUAUCUCUUUCCAUGUAUAUGAUCUAUCUUCACUGUAUUAUGUAGGGAAAGCACAGGAUUCAUGCCUG
This 1880-nucleotide long non-coding RNA is filed under the name Sus scrofa (pig). RNAcentral's name for it is "lncRNA (ENSSSCG00000057901.1)". The record is from RNAcentral. Lineage: Eukaryota; Metazoa; Chordata; Mammalia; Artiodactyla; Suidae.